GGGCAGGUGGUUCAGUGGUAGAGUGCUUGCCUUGCAUGCAUGAGGCUCUGGGUUCGAUUCCUUAGCUCCCCA
Non-coding RNA from Dipodomys ordii (Ord's kangaroo rat), 72 nucleotides. The record is from Rfam. Lineage: Eukaryota; Metazoa; Chordata; Mammalia; Rodentia; Heteromyidae.